Non-coding RNA from Callorhinus ursinus (northern fur seal), 470 nucleotides. The record is from RefSeq and is a predicted model, not a curated record. Lineage: Eukaryota; Metazoa; Chordata; Mammalia; Carnivora; Otariidae.
GGCUAGGGGUCGGCGUUCCGUAUGAAUUGUGCUGGGCACGAAUGCAGUGUGGCUUUUGAUGGCUUCUGAUGGACAGUUCUGUGCCAAAGGGGUGGAAGUGGCUGCCAAGGCACUAAACAGAAGUAGCUGGAAGUUGAAGGGGUGGACUUGAGUCUUAACACAUGUCUGGACCGACCGUAUUUGGGCUUAUAGGCCACUAUCAUGGAUGGCUUGCUUGGGGUACUUAGUUUGAAGACAUUUUCAUAUAAAGGUGUGAAGAGUUUGGGGCACCUUACAAAGCCUGGAACAAGGAGUUUUAAGCUAAGGCAGACUUGCCAACCUGAAGAUUUAGAGGGUGUUUAUGAGAGCAGCAAUCCAGUUAUGAGAGCAGCUUACCAGUUGAAAGGCACCUGAAUGGAUGCUUAUGUGAUGUGAUAGAAGAUCAAAUUUCCAAUUUCAAUAAGUUUUUAUAAACCAUCAAAAAAAAAAAA